GUUAUGGCUCAGUGGUAGAGCACUUGCCUGAGAUGUGUGAGGCACUGGGUUUAAUCCUCAGUACAACA
Molecule: transfer RNA, 68 nt
Filed under: Marmota monax (woodchuck)
Lineage: Eukaryota; Metazoa; Chordata; Mammalia; Rodentia; Sciuridae
Description: tRNA.Leu
Rfam family: tRNA (bases 3-63)
About the family: Transfer RNA (tRNA) molecules are approximately 80 nucleotides in length. Their secondary structure includes four short double-helical elements and three loops (D, anti-codon, and T loops). Further hydrogen bonds mediate the characteristic L-shaped molecular structure. tRNAs have two regions of fundamental functional importance: the anti-codon, which is responsible for specific mRNA codon recognition, and the 3' end, to which the tRNAs corresponding amino acid is attached (by aminoacyl-tRNA synthetases). tRNAs cope with the degeneracy of the genetic code in two manners: having more than one tRNA (with a specific anti-codon) for a particular amino acid; and 'wobble' base-pairing, i.e. permitting non-standard base-pairing at the 3rd anti-codon position.
Source: RNAcentral